This 253-nucleotide ribosomal RNA is filed under the name uncultured bacterium. RNAcentral's name for it is "partial 16S ribosomal RNA". It matches the Rfam family "Bacterial small subunit ribosomal RNA", at positions 524 to 776 of the family's 1533-position model. The record is from RNAcentral.
UACGUAGGGGGCAAGCGUUGUCCGGAAUUACUGGGCGUAAAGGGCGCGUAGGCGGCCAUCUAAGUCAGACGUGAAAUCCCCGGGCUUAACCUGGGAACUGCGCUUGUUACUGGCAGGCUUGAGUGUGGCAGAGGGGGGUGGAAUUCCACGUGUAGCAGUGAAAUGCGUAGAGAUGUGGAGGAACACCGAUGGCGAAGGCAGCCCCCUGGGCUAACACUGACGCUCAUGCACGAAAGCGUGGGGAGCAAACAGG